Molecule: ribosomal RNA, 422 nt
Filed under: uncultured eukaryote
Lineage: Eukaryota
Description: bacterial SSU rRNA
Rfam family: Eukaryotic small subunit ribosomal RNA
Source: RNAcentral
CAAUAGCGUAUAUUAAAGUUGUUGCAGUUAAAAAGCUCGUAGUUGGAUUUCUGGGCUGGCCGGACGGUCCACCUCACGGUGAGAACUGGCUGGUCGGCCCUUCCUCUCGAAGUGUUGCGGUGUUCUUAACUGAGUGCUGUGGCAAUUCGGGACCUUUACUUUGAAAAAAUUAGAGUGUUCAAAGCAGGCCUUCGCUUGAAUACAUUAGCAUGGAAUAAUGGAAUAGGACUUUGGUUCUAUUUUGUUGGUUUCUAGGACCGAAGUAAUGAUUGAUAGGGACAGUUGGGGGCAUCAGUAUUCUGAAGCGAGAGGUGAAAUUCUUGGACCUUCGGAAGACUAACAACUAGCGAAAGCAUUUGCCUAGGAUGUUCUCUUUAAUCAAGAACGAAAGUUAGGGGGAGUCGAAGACGAUCAGAUACCAU